CAUGGGGAGCAAACAGGAUUUGGUACCCUGGUAGUCCAUGCUAUAAACAAUGAAUAUUAAAUAUUAGAUCUGGUUAAUCAUAAUUUUCAAAAUUAUGGGAGGAUAAAUUGAAGUCUAAUAUAUAUAGUUAACACGUUAAAUAUUUCGCCUGGGGAGUAAAACCGCAAGGUUGAAACUCAAAGGAAUUGACGGGAGCUUAUACUUACGGUGGAGCAUGUGGUUUAAUCCGAUAGUCCGCGUGGAAUCUUACCAAUUUUUGACAUUCAUUAAUUUUUAAAAAAUGAAACAGGUGUUGCAUGGCCGUUGUCAGCUUAUGUUUUGAAAUUUAAAUAUAAGUUUAACCCUUAGUUUAAUUUACUAAU
Molecule: ribosomal RNA, 362 nt
Filed under: Blastocystis sp.
Lineage: Eukaryota; Bigyra; Opalinata; Blastocystidae
Description: SSU rRNA
Rfam family: Bacterial small subunit ribosomal RNA
Source: RNAcentral